AAGAGACAGCAGUAGCCGCGGGAAUACAGAGGGUGCGAGCGUUAAUCGGAUUUACUGGGCGUAAAGCGUGCGUAGGCGGCUUCUUAAGUCGGAUGUGAAAUCCCUGAGCUUAACUUAGGAAUUGCAUUCGAUACUGGGAAGCUAGAGUAUGGGAGAGGAUGGUAGAAUUCCAGGUGUAGCGGUGAAAUGCGUAGAGAUCUGGAGGAAUACCGAUGGCGAAGGCAGCCAUCUGGCCUAAUACUGACGCUGAGGUACGAAAGCAUGGGGAGCAAACAGGAUUAGAUACCCCCGUAGUCCCUGUCUCUUAUAA
This 310-nucleotide ribosomal RNA is filed under the name uncultured bacterium. RNAcentral's name for it is "partial 16S ribosomal RNA". It matches the Rfam family "Bacterial small subunit ribosomal RNA", at positions 503 to 809 of the family's 1533-position model. The record is from RNAcentral.